RNAcentral lists this transfer RNA (63 nucleotides) under Hyparrhenia subplumosa. RNAcentral's name for it is "tRNA-Met". The record is from RNAcentral. Lineage: Eukaryota; Viridiplantae; Streptophyta; Magnoliopsida; Poales; Poaceae.
GUAGAGCAGUUUGGUAGCUCACAAAGCUGGGGUUACGGGUUCGAUACUGACUACCUGCUCCAU